RNAcentral lists this ribosomal RNA (433 nucleotides) under uncultured organism. Its description in RNAcentral is "bacterial SSU rRNA". It matches the Rfam family "Bacterial small subunit ribosomal RNA", at positions 29 to 507 of the family's 1533-position model. The record is from RNAcentral.
AACGAACGCUGGCGGCAGGCUUAACACAUGCAAGUCGAACGGUCUCUUCGGAGGCAGUGGCAGACGGGUGAGUAAUGCAUGGGAAUCUACCGUUCUCUACGGAAUAACUCAGGGAAACUUGUGCUAAUACCGUAUACGCCCUUUUGGGGAAAGAUUUAUCGGAGAAUGAUGAGCCCAUGUUGGAUUAGCUAGUUGGUAGGGUAAAGGCCUACCAAGGCGACGAUCCAUAGCUGGUCUGAGAGGAUGAUCAGCCACACUGGGACUGAGACACGGCCCAGACUCCUACGGGAGGCAGCAGUGGGGAAUAUUGGACAAUGGGCGCAAGCCUGAUCCAGCCAUGCCGCGUGAGUGAUGAAGGCCCUAGGGUUGUAAAGCUCUUUCACCGGUGAAGAUAAUGACGGUAACCGGAGAAGAAGCCCCGGCUAACUUCGUG